UGGGGAAUUUUGGACAAUGGGCGAAAGCCUGAUCCAGCAAUGCCGCGUGUGUGAAGAAGGCCUUCGGGUUGUAAAGCACUUUUGUCCGGAAAGAAAUCCUUGGCUCUAAUACAGUCGGGGGAUGACGGUACCGGAAGAAUAAGCACCGGCUAACUACGUGCCAGCAGCCGCGGUAAUACGUAGGGUGCAAGCGUUAAUCGGAAUUACUGGGCGUAAAGCGUGCGCAGGCGGUUUGCUAAGACCGAUGUGAAAUCCCCGGGCUCAACCUGGGAACUGCAUUGGUGACUGGCAGGCUAGAGUAUGGCAGAGGGGGGUAGAAUUCCACGUGUAGCAGUGAAAUGCGUAGAGAUGUGGAGGAAUACCGAUGGCGAAGGCAGCCCCCUGGGCCAAUACUGACGCUCAUGCACGAAAGCGUGGGGAGCAAACAGGAUUAGAUACCCUGGUAGUCCACGCCCUAAAACGAUGUCAACUAGUUGUUGGGGAUUCAUUUCUUAGUAACGUAGCUAACGCGUGAAGUUGACCGUCUGGGGAGUACGGUCGCAAGAUUAAAACUUAAAGGAAUUGACGGGGUCAUAGCUGUUUCCU
This 585-nucleotide ribosomal RNA is filed under the name uncultured bacterium. Its description in RNAcentral is "partial 16S ribosomal RNA". It matches the Rfam family "Bacterial small subunit ribosomal RNA", at positions 355 to 1375 of the family's 1533-position model. The record is from RNAcentral.